UACGGGGGGAGCAAGCGUUGUUCGGAUUUACUGGGCGUAAAGGGCGCGUAGGCGGUCGUGACAAGUCACUUGUGAAAUCUCCGGGCUUAACUCGGAACGGUCAAGUGAUACUGUCGGACUAGAGUACAGAAGGGGCAACCGGAAUUCUCGGUGUAGCGGUGAAAUGCGUAGAUAUCGAGAGGAACACCUGCGGCGAAGGCGGGUUGCUGGGCCGACACUGACGCUGAGGCGCGAAAGCCAGGGGAGCGAACGGG
RNAcentral lists this ribosomal RNA (254 nucleotides) under uncultured bacterium. RNAcentral describes it as "partial 16S ribosomal RNA". It matches the Rfam family "Bacterial small subunit ribosomal RNA", at positions 524 to 776 of the family's 1533-position model. The record is from RNAcentral.